Hibiscus syriacus is the source of this 107-nucleotide small nucleolar RNA. The record is from RefSeq and is a predicted model, not a curated record. Lineage: Eukaryota; Viridiplantae; Streptophyta; Magnoliopsida; Malvales; Malvaceae.
AAACAAUGAUGUGGACAACUAGCACAUAAUUUUUUAAAUCUCUCCUAAUAAUCAUAGAGGGUAUUUCCUUCAUUUUUUGAAUUCCCAAAAAUAUUUCUUCUUAGUUC